Long non-coding RNA from Solanum verrucosum, 814 nucleotides. RefSeq lists it as uncharacterized. The record is from RefSeq and is a predicted model, not a curated record. The transcript is spliced from 3 exons. Lineage: Eukaryota; Viridiplantae; Streptophyta; Magnoliopsida; Solanales; Solanaceae.
GUUCGGUGGUGGAGGAAGAGCAGUACAUAUGUCAUUUCAUGACAUCCUCGCUUUAUUUGUUAUCUCUCUGAAAAGUAAUGCAACAGUGCUGCUACCUUGGGUCUAAAGACGAAUCAUUACAUCCAGAUUUGCUCAAUUUUUGAGAGGAUGGCAUCAAGGUGGUGUUAAUUAGACUAAUUUUUCAAAAUGGUUAAGAGCAAGUGGGAAGUACUUAUAUAAAGUUGUUCCAGCUGGUUUCAAUAAUCAUCGUAAUCAAUAUAAGCUUAGUUUCUCUUAUGUGGUCCAGACAGUCAGAAAAGAACUUUAUGACCGUAGUUUCCUUGAUGCAAUUGUUCCCAGGGUAUCUGGUUUUAUAUUAUAACACUAAAUAUCAAGAUGUUGCAGGUAGUUAUGAUGCUACUUUAAUGGCUCAGAUAGUUUAUGUUGUCCUAGGUUUCUGUUCAACGACUAUUGUGUUGUUGUGCCAUGGUGUAUACUUUCCAAAAUCGUACACUUUCUGUUCCUCAAAGUCCAAAGAAAGGCUUGGGGUUUAUGUUUUAGGGAUUCGAUUGGCUUGAGUUAAAUAUAUUAUUGGUCGCUUUUAUAGCUAUUGUUGCAGCAGCCCGUAAACUCAAUGCUUGUACUAUUUCUCUUCCUGCUAGCAUUUGGUAUUCUUCUGGUUCCAACCAGCAUCGCAGGCAGUGGGUUGAGGUUGCUGCACUUUACUACAUGGGAAUGGCAGGCCAUUUUGGUCUUGGUAACACCAACACCCUAGCUACAAUCGAUGUUGUUGGGGCUUUUAUUGGUGUCUUGAACCACUCAACUAUACUUUCUG